Molecule: ribosomal RNA, 238 nt
Filed under: uncultured bacterium
Lineage: Bacteria
Description: partial 16S ribosomal RNA
Rfam family: Bacterial small subunit ribosomal RNA
Source: RNAcentral
CGGCGGACGGGUGAGUAACGCGUGGGUAACCUGCCUCAUACAGGGGGAUAACAGUUAGAGAUGACUGCUAAUACCGCAUAAGACCACAGCACCGCAUGGUGCAGGGGUAAAAACUCCGGUGGUAUGAGAUGGACCCGCGUCUGAUUAGCUAGUUGGUAAGGUAACGGCUUACCAAGGCGACGAUCAGUAGCCGACCUGAGAGGGUGACCGGCCACAUUGGGACUGAGACACGGCCCAA